Long non-coding RNA from Homalodisca vitripennis (glassy-winged sharpshooter), 148 nucleotides. RefSeq lists it as uncharacterized. NCBI's taxonomy places the organism in Eukaryota, Metazoa, Arthropoda, Insecta, Hemiptera, Cicadellidae. The transcript has 2 exons. The record is from RefSeq and is a predicted model, not a curated record.
ACCAGUCAGUUUCCACACCAAACGAGCAAAAAUCAACAGUUGGCCUACAUCAAACACCGGAUAAGCGGAAAACUGCAUCACCAUCCACAUCUCUAUCUCCCAGAAAAGUGCUAUUGCGCCGGAAGGUUAAAGCUCUAAAGCAAAAAUU